Hyaena hyaena (striped hyena) is the source of this 637-nucleotide long non-coding RNA. RefSeq lists it as uncharacterized. The transcript is spliced from 4 exons. NCBI's taxonomy places the organism in Eukaryota, Metazoa, Chordata, Mammalia, Carnivora, Hyaenidae. The record is from RefSeq and is a predicted model, not a curated record.
GAGUCCGGCAGGGUGCGAAGCGACGCCGCGCGCUGGGGUCAUUGCGCAUGCGCGCGGGGGCCCGUGAGCCCUUGCGAGCAGCCGCACCCGGGACCCCAGGACCCCGGCCGGCGGUGAGGCACUUUCGCUCCGCAUGGAAUGGAAACGCACCCAUUCGCUGCGAUUUGACACUCGCGUUGAAGGGAAGACCUUGGUUUUCCUUCCUCUCUCCUAAACCGCCAGCAUACGUAAUUAAUGUUUCCUGGAACAAUCCACUGUGGAGGAACCAGUGCCCCACCAAGUGAGCUUUGCCCUCCCAUACAAGAACACUUUAAGAAGCUACCAACUCCUUCACCUUUACUGCAACAUAAUGGGUGAAUCCUCUGUUCCAGGAACUUGGUGUUGAUAUUGACAUCUUGCUGACUUCAGUGUAUACUUAGGAAUGAGGCUGGGAUGGCGGGUGCCAGCGCUAGUCAUGAAACCACCUUGAAGACAUAACGGCACAGCAUGUACCAGAUUCCACCCAGAUCCUGUAUUUUCCUAUUAAACCCUCAGCCUUUUACCACAGUUCCAGAGCACAGAGGUUGGUUUAUGACAACAGUCUAAUGGUUCUCAACCUUGAAUGCGUAUUGGAAUCAUCUGGAGAACUUUAAAAAAU